AAAUGAAUAGACGGGCACCCGCACAAGCGGUGGAGCAUGCUGUUUAAUUCGAAAAUACGCGAAAAACCUUACCUAGACUUGACAUCCCCGGCAAAGCUAUGGAAACAUAGUGGAGGUUACCCGGGUGACAGGUGGUGCAUGGUUGUCGUCAGCUCGUGUCGUGAGAUGUUUGGUUAAGUCCAAUAACGAGCGCAACCCUCGUCUUUAGUUGCUAACAUUAAGUUGAGAACUCUAAAGAGACUGCCAGCGCAAGCUGGAGGAAGAUGGGGAUGACGUCAAAUCAUCAUGCCCCUUACGUCUAGGGCUACAGGCGUGCUACAAUGGCCGGUACAACGAGUCGCAACAUGGUGACAUGAAGCUAAUCUCUUAAAGCCGGUCCCAGUCCGGAUUGAAGUCUGCAACUCGACUUCAUGAAGUUGGAAUCGCUAGUAAUCCCGAAUCAGAAUGUCGGGGUGAAUACGUUCCCGGGUGUUGUACACACCGCCCGU
This 488-nucleotide ribosomal RNA is filed under the name uncultured bacterium. RNAcentral's name for it is "bacterial SSU rRNA". It matches the Rfam family "Bacterial small subunit ribosomal RNA", at positions 903 to 1397 of the family's 1533-position model. The record is from RNAcentral.